Molecule: ribosomal RNA, 460 nt
Filed under: uncultured Treponema sp.
Lineage: Bacteria; Pseudomonadati; Spirochaetota; Spirochaetia; Treponematales; Treponemataceae
Description: bacterial SSU rRNA
Rfam family: Bacterial small subunit ribosomal RNA
Source: RNAcentral
ACGGAAGGCAGCAGCUAAGAAUAUUCCGCAAUGGACGAAAGUCUGACGGAGCGACGCCGCGUGGAUGAUGAAGGUCGGAAGAUUGUAAAAUCCUUUUAUGACUGAGGAAUAAGCAGUGUGAGAGAAACGCAUUGUGGUGACUGUAGGUCAUGAAUAAGCAACGGCUAAUUACGUGCCAGCAGCCGCGGUAACACGUAAGUUGCGAGCGUUGUUCGGAAUUAUUGGGCGUAAAGGGCAUGUAGGCGGUUUUGCAAGCUUGGUGUGAAAUCUCGGAGCUCAACUCCGAAAUUGCGUUGAGAACUGCAUGACUAGAGUCACUGAGGGGCAAUCAGAAUUCCAGGUGUAGGGGUGAAAUCUGUAGAUAUCUGGAAGAAUACCAAUGGCGAAGGCAGGUUACCAGCAGAUGACUGACGCUGAGGUGCGAAGGUGCGGGGAGCAAACAGGAUUAGAUACCCUGGUA